This is a long non-coding RNA of Carassius auratus (goldfish), 1973 nucleotides long. RefSeq lists it as uncharacterized. The transcript is spliced from 2 exons. NCBI's taxonomy places the organism in Eukaryota, Metazoa, Chordata, Actinopteri, Cypriniformes, Cyprinidae. The record is from RefSeq and is a predicted model, not a curated record.
GUCUACUAAAACAGGAAAUAUAAAACAGCUUUAAACACUGAAAGUAAGCAAUAAAUAUAAACCCAGUAAAAUACAUUGGCUGCACAGUCUCUCCAUCACAUAUUGUUCUCCUGUGUCUCAUAACUGAUCAUGAAGCAUCUAAUUUUAAUAUGAGCACAUUCAAAUCACAUUGGCUGAGAUUUGAAAUCGUCAACAGAUUGAAAGAUUUUCAGUGAUUCAAGUUGUUGGUCUGCUCCUCAUAGUGGCUUCAGAAGAUUUGAAAUAUAGCUUGUCUUUCAUUGUUUGAAAAAGAGAUGCAAACAUACUACCUAACAGAAGAAAGAAAUACCUGUUUGGAAUAACACAAGGGUGAGUAAAUUAGCAUUUUUGGGUAAACUAUUGAUUUUACACGUGUGCUAGCUCUUUAUUUUCAUUUGCAUUCAAAUUUAUGCAUUCCCUGGGAAUUUAAUCCACAACCUUGGUAUUGCUACUACUACUGGUUAUAAUUAUUGUUUUAAUGCUAGCAAGUCAUAAUUUAAACAAGCUUGGUCACAGUUCAAAUCUUUAAAGCACAUGAAAUCUAGAAACAAGACAGAAGACACUGCUGUCAUGACCCUCAGAGGUGAAUGGGUGUUUUCAAACCUUAAACACUACUAAGAGUGAGUGAAACCAAGACACUGACAUCUGCAUUCAUUUUUCUUGUUUCUCUUUUUUUUUUUUUUUUUGAGUGAAUAUUACCUUUGUGCACAAAUUUUUGCACAUGACUACUCAGGACACACUGUCCUGCCAAGAUGCCUCUGCAUACCUUUAAGGUGCCGCUGAAUCUGCCUAACAGGAUCCAAAGGCAAGUCUGCACAAAAGUUAAGAGAUGGAAGGAGGUACAGGACAAGGUGUGACUUUUGAGGAGAAGCAGGGAAAGUGUGUGCUGGAGGCAGACGAUAUUUGGCACUUAGCUGAGCAGGAUGAAAAGGAGGGAAACAUCUAAAUACCUGCUUAAAUUGCUCCAAUUACAGUCCAUGCAGAAGUGUUCAUUGAAGACUAAGCUAGAUUUACUGUUUAUUGCAAGCACUUUCACAACCGCCAAAGGAACAAAAAUAUGCCGUGAUCAUUGUUAUGGGGCAGAAAACGGUUUGUAUUUCUUUGUAGAUUACUUGAUAAUUCUUUGGCAAACAUUAACGGUAGAUUUGUCUCUCUUCAUGAGCCAACUCAUUAAUAAUUCCCAGACACAAUCUUCAUAAGUGAGAAGGGAUCCCAGUGAUACAGAAUCAUGCCUGAAAAAACAAAAACAUUUCCAAACUCCUCCUAUCAAAUGGCAGUUAGACAGUGCCAAGAUCUCACACUUUUACUCUCUCCUUGGGAAAACUGCAGAAAAACCCAACUUUCUGGUUUUAAAGACAGAUCAUUGAUGACAGUCAAAGAGCCGUGAGAAACUUCCGAGACUGCCAGGAAAACUGAAAUUUAAGAAAAACAUGGUGUUGGAUCACCGAUCACAUGAUAUCUUUCAACACUGACCUCGCCAUGGACAUUAGGUGCUGCACUUUAUUCUCCCUUUAAAAAUUCAUCAUUUAGACUGCUGGAUUAAAUGGAUGGGAUCAAAUACUACAGCAAAGAUCACAAACCUAUAUACAAGAGGAACGAAGUGGUAAAUAAACACAAACAAGUCUAGACCAAGCCAUGCUGGCAAAGAGUCUAUGAGAAAAAUGUAUCACCAACUCUUGAGAAAUGUAUUAGGAGAAAGCUGAGAGGGGCAUGAUACGACCUGCCCUCAGUUUCUCUAGGAAAAGAGAUGACUUUUACUACUACCAAUACUACAAAAAACUGGGUGACAGGCCAUAUAGACUGAUUGCUAAUAACAAAAAAACCCACUUCCAGCAUUUUAGUGUAAAAUACAUUGAACCGUAAGUUCAUUCUACUCCAGUUGUGUCAAAGAAUAGAUUUCCUCAACAGUUUCUGAGAGUUUUUAUUGGUCAAAUUAAAAUUAAUAAUUUGUUAAA